This 505-nucleotide ribosomal RNA is filed under the name uncultured bacterium. RNAcentral's name for it is "bacterial SSU rRNA". It matches the Rfam family "Bacterial small subunit ribosomal RNA", at positions 81 to 584 of the family's 1533-position model. The record is from RNAcentral.
UUCGGACCUAGAGACCGGCGCACGGGUGCGUAACGCGUAUGCAAUCUACCUUUUACAGAGGGAUAGCCCAGAGAAAUUUGGAUUAAUACCUCAUAGUAUUACGACUCGGCAUCGAGAUGUAAUUAAAGUCACAACGGUAAAAGAUGAGCAUGCGUCCCAUUAGCUUGUUGGUAAGGUAACGGCUUACCAAGGCAACGAUGGGUAGGGGUCCUGAGAGGGAGAUCCCCCACACUGGUACUGAGACACGGACCAGACUCCUACGGGAGGCAGCAGUGAGGAAUAUUGGUCAAUGGGCGCAAGCCUGAACCAGCCAUGCCGCGUGCAGGAUGAAGCAUCUAUGGUGUGUAAACUGCUUUUGUACGAGAAGAAACACUCCUUCGUGAAGGAGCUUGACGGUAUCGUAAGAAUAAGGACCGGCUAACUCCGUGCCAGCAGCCGCGGUAAUACGGAGGGUCCAAGCGUUAUCCGGAAUCAUUGGGUUUAAAGGGUCCGUAGGCGGUUUUGU